CCUACGGGUGGCAGCAGUGGGGAAUAUUGGGCAAUGGGCGCAAGCCUGACCCAGCAACGCCGCGUGAAGGAAGAAGGCUUUCGGGUUGUAAAAUUCUUUUUAGGGGGAAGAGCAGAAGACGGUACCCCUUGAAUAAGCCACGGCUAACUACGUGCCAGCAGCCGCGGUAAUACGUAGGUGGCAAGCGUUGUCCGGAUUUACUGGGUGUAAAGGGCGUGCAGCCGGGGAGACAAGUCAGAUGUGAAAUCCACGGGCUCAACCCGUGAACUGCAUUUGAAACUGUUUCCCUUGAGUGUCGGAGAGGUAAUCGGAAUUCCUUGUGUAGCGGUGAAAUGCGUAGAUAUAAGGAAGAACACCAGUGGCGAAGGCGGAUUACUAGACGAUAACUGACGGUGAGGCGCGAAAGCGUGGGGAGCAAACAGGAUUAGAUACCCCUGUAGUC
This 442-nucleotide ribosomal RNA is filed under the name uncultured bacterium. RNAcentral's name for it is "partial 16S ribosomal RNA". It matches the Rfam family "Bacterial small subunit ribosomal RNA", at positions 338 to 795 of the family's 1533-position model. The record is from RNAcentral.